CAAAGCAUUGUGGGUCCUGGGCUUCCGUGGCCCCCAACCUCUUCCUUCGGGCGGGGAUGGCGACGGUGCUGUGACUUUCCGGCCGCCGCGCCCACCCCCCCCCCCCCCCCCCGGCACGGUGCCGCGUACACAGUGGGCGCUCAGUACCCGGGGGCGACGGGACCGAUCGGCCGUGGUUCAGCCCUCUGGGGACCCAGAUCCGAAGCGGGACCCGGCGAGAGCGGGUCCGCUCCGAAAGCACCGCGCGCCCAGCAGGUGCCGGGCGGGCUGCAAGGGCGGGAGAUGCCAGCGCUGAGAAGACACGCAGCGGCGUCCUCGGCGGGUCUGCGUGUGUAUGGCCACCGGCAACACUGACUCCCUUCAGAGCUCGUGACUCGGUGCUGCCGACUCCCCUGAACUCCAGGCCCACAUUUGGACAUGAGACACAUCGUCGUGGGCACAGAAGUCAGACCUUGAAGCCACCCUGCCUCCUCAUUCCCUACAUCUGGUCCUUGAGUGAAUUCUGUUGGCUCUCCCUUCAAAGUACAUCCGGAACUGUGUUUGACUUGUUCCAGACUGCCACCCUGAUCCUGCUCUAGAUUUCAAAAGGCUGUAAGAAAUAGUAACCAACUGCAAUGCAAAACGAAAAUACACGUAAAAAGAUGUUUGGAGGGACUCCUGUGUGGCUCAGUCGGUGAAGCGGCCGACUUCGGCUCAGAUCGCGAUCUUGCGGUUUGUGAGUUCGAGCGCAGAGCCCAUUUUGGAUCCUCUGUCUAACCCUCCCCCCUUGCUCUUUCAGAAAUAAACACUCAAAAAUAAACAUUUAGAAAACCGGGGAAGUUAGAACGUGUCAUGAGGCACAUCUGGGUGGCUCAGUCAGGUUAAGCGUCCGACUCCGUUUUGGCUGAGGUCAUGAUCUCAGUUCUUGAGACUGAGCCCCAUGUCAGGCUCUACGCUGACAGCACAGAGCCUGCUUGGGAUUUUCUCUCUCUCCUCUCUUCCCCUCCCUCACUCUCUCAGAAUAAACACUAAAAAAAGAAAAAAAAAAAA
Acinonyx jubatus (cheetah) is the source of this 1029-nucleotide long non-coding RNA. RefSeq lists it as uncharacterized. NCBI's taxonomy places the organism in Eukaryota, Metazoa, Chordata, Mammalia, Carnivora, Felidae. The transcript is spliced from 3 exons. The record is from RefSeq and is a predicted model, not a curated record.